GACGAACGCUGGCGGCAUGCCUAACACAUGCAAGUCGAGCGAGCUGAUUCCUUCGGGAUGAAGCUAGCGGCGGACGGGUGAGUAACACGUGGGCAACCUGCCUCAUAGAGGGGAAUAGCCUUCCGAAAGGAAGAUUAAUACCGCAUAAGAUUGCAUCUUCGCAUGAAGAAGCAAUUAAAGGAGCAAUCCGCUAUGAGAUGGGCCCGCGGCGCAUUAGCUAGUUGGUGAGGUAACGGCUCACCAAGGCGACGAUGCGUAGCCGACCUGAGAGGGUGAUCGGCCACAUUGGGACUGAGACACGGCCCAGACUCCUACGGGAGGCAGCAGUGGGGAAUAUUGCACAAUGGGGGAAACCCUGAUGCAGCAAUGCCGCGUGAGUGAUGACGGCCUUCGGGUUGUAAAGCUCUGUCUUCGGGGACGAUAAUGACGGUACCCGAGGAGGAAGCCACGGCUAACUACGUGCCAGCAGCCGCCGUAA
RNAcentral lists this ribosomal RNA (478 nucleotides) under uncultured bacterium. RNAcentral describes it as "partial 16S ribosomal RNA". It matches the Rfam family "Bacterial small subunit ribosomal RNA", at positions 28 to 523 of the family's 1533-position model. The record is from RNAcentral.